UACGGGGGGUGCAAGCGUUGUUCGGAAUUAUUGGGCGUAAAGAGCGUGUAGGCGGCUGAAUAAGUCAGAUGUGAAAUCCCUGGGCUUAACCCAGGACGUGCAUUGGAAACUGGAUAGCUUGAGUACGGGAGAUGGUAGUGGAAUUUCGAGUGUAGGGGUGAAAUCCGUAGAUAUUAGGAGGAACACCAGUGGCGAAGGCGACUUUCUGGACUGUAACUGACGCUGAGGCGCGAAAGCGUGGGGAGCAAACAGG
RNAcentral lists this ribosomal RNA (253 nucleotides) under uncultured bacterium. RNAcentral's name for it is "partial 16S ribosomal RNA". It matches the Rfam family "Bacterial small subunit ribosomal RNA", at positions 524 to 776 of the family's 1533-position model. The record is from RNAcentral.